UUCUUUUCCAUUUCUCUUGUGCUUCACACACACAUCAUUCUCACUCCCACAAAUUCCAUCAAAACCAUGUUCAUUUUCCAUCCAUUUCAUUAUCGUCAUACCAAUCAUCCACCAUCUUCCAUAAACAUUCGAACCAAGAUCAUCCCUUAAAUACUAUACUCAACCGUAUCAUUCAAUCCUAUAAAAUUUCCCAACCGUGAUCAUCCAACCCUACACAUAUACCUUUAUCCAAACAACCACAUAUCUUUACCCUACACACAACAAGCCAAGCCAUUUCCCAUCAAAUCCAUCAACCUUAAGUUAUAUCUUCAAUCCGCAACCAAACUCUACAAAUCCCUAAAUCAACACCCUAAACCGAGAUCAUAAGCCUUACAUCCCUAAACAUACACAAACCUAGCCUAAAUACUACUCACAAAUCGAACCAAAUAUUCAUCAAAACCUUAACCCAACACCUAAGCCGAAACAUAAAUUACCAGACUUAUACUUAUAAUUUUAAGCUAAAAACAAUCCUAAAAUGAAGGCAACUCUAAGAGGCAUUAGUUUUUUUUGGUUUCUCACAGGUAUCCUUGCACCGGAGGCAAUCCUAUCCGAGCUGGGAACAUCCACAGGUACGUGAGGCUAACUCUCCCAACGGGUAUUUUUUCCAUCCACAAGACUCAAACCCGGGUUCUUGCUUAAUGAAACUCAAGCAUGUACCACUUGAACCAACGCCCGUUGUUACAAUAGUUAAAUAACCAGCCCUCUUAUUGUUUCUGUUACAAUAGUUUGGAAAAAUAUUUAAAAUAAAAGAUAUUAAGUGAUAGGAGUAAUGAUUAUUAAGAAAGUCGAAAUUGAAAAAUACUUCCUGAUCUCAAAUUCAUUUAGAAUUGAUUAGUAACAUGCAAGUGUUAAGUUCUACCGAGUUGCUCCUUCAACUUGUAUUGUUGGCAAAUGAUUGAUUAAAAGUAUAUGAGCAAGCCAUCAAGAUGUUUUUUCAAGGAAGAUAAUUAUGUAAUUAUAAUAUACUAAAGAAAAUAAUUUAUGGUGGGUUAACCAUGAAUGUUACAUGAUUAUACAAGGUUCCACCAUUGAUUGUAGUAGUAUUUGCAUUCUAAUUCCGUAUACCUUCAUCAAAAGAUGGAUAUGAUAGGGUAUUCGUGCAUUUGACACAUAAUUUAAAUAUGUUAAUUUAUCUUCGAAAAACGGAAAAAUGGAAUGAAUUGAUCGCAAUAUUUUAUAAUAUUUUAUGAUUUUUGACUCCUAUGAGAUUCCCUUCAUUUUUAAUUUAAUUUUGCCUUUUUCCUAUACCUAUUGUUCACAUGUUCCUGCAAAUAUGAUUGGAAAACUAUGUCCCAUAAGUUCUCUUCUAUUAAAUCCUCUCUUUCUCCAAAACAACAAGAACAAAAAAUGUACACUCUCUUUAGUACAAUUAAUUUGAAAAAUGGGCUAAAGAUUGAAAAGUCACUGUGUGACUAAAAAGCUAGAGAACUGAAAGUUUAUGGCUAAUAAUUAAGCUAGCUGAUUGAAUUGAAGGUGUUUACUAAAAUUAGCUGAACAACUUAUUGAUUUUAGUGUAAAAAAUGAAGCAAAAUGACUUAUAAACUUAUGUCUUAUUAGGCCAUAAAUUACUCCAAUUGGUUUAUAAGUCAAAUCACUAAAUAGAGCUAAUGACUUAUUUUUAAUCAAAUAAUCUCAUUGUCUAAAUUAUUAACCCCGAAAUAGCCUUCUAAGUAUGAAAAGCCAGCAUAAACAGGAAAAGAAAACUAAAUUAAUCAAGAUAUUGGUUUAUUUUUGUAGUGUGCACGAACAUCCAUGUAUUAUAUUUGGGGUUUGCUAUGAAAAGUUAUAUUGGUUUGUAAAAUAUUUCUAUAUUUUAAUCAUAAUAGUUUCAUCAACAAAGUGUUUAUUAUUGACCAAAAUAUUAAUGAUUCGAUUCUUAUAAGCAAUAUUUAUUAGGAGAAUUGAAAAAUAUGCUGGGACCACAUUUGGUAUUCACUCCAAUGUGUUCAAAUAAACUUUUCCUUCUAUGAAUGUUCAUGCAUGUUACAUGCAUAUUACUAUGGUCAUAACAUGGAUGUAACUCAUUUUCUUUGCAACUAAGUAACCACCUUUACUAAUGGGCGUUGGUUCAAGUGCUUGAUUCGUAAGAACUCGGGUUCAAAUCUUGUUGAUGGAAAAAAUGUACGUUGGGAGAGUUAACCCCACGUACCUGUGGAUGUUCCCGGCUCGCACAGAAUUGCCUACGAGGAUACACGUGAGAAAAAAAAAAAAAAGUAACCACCUUUGAUUAUUAACACAAUCCAAUUUACCUAACGUGCAGAUUCAUGGAAAAGAGGCUUUCCUAUCUCAUGCUUAAAUAUUCAAAUCAGCCCUGAAAAGGAGAGGAAGAAGGUGCUUCUGGUCCAAUUGCUUAAAUUGUAUGGUCUUGUUCUGACAAUAA
Molecule: long non-coding RNA, 2419 nt
Filed under: Lupinus angustifolius (narrow-leaved blue lupine)
Lineage: Eukaryota; Viridiplantae; Streptophyta; Magnoliopsida; Fabales; Fabaceae
Description: long non-coding RNA (LANG_LNC000207)
Source: RNAcentral